RNAcentral lists this ribosomal RNA (253 nucleotides) under uncultured bacterium. Its description in RNAcentral is "partial 16S ribosomal RNA". It matches the Rfam family "Bacterial small subunit ribosomal RNA", at positions 524 to 776 of the family's 1533-position model. The record is from RNAcentral.
UACGAAGGGGGCUAGCGUUGUUCGGAAUUACAGGGCGUAAAGGGCGCGUGGGCGGUCUUGUAAGUCAGAUGUGAAAGCCCCGGGCUCAACCCGGGAAUAGCAUUUGAUACUGCGAGGCUUGAGUCCGGGAGAGGAUGGCGGAAUUCCCAGUGUAGAGGUGAAAUUCGUAGAUAUUGGGAAGAACACCGGUGGCGAAGGCGGCCAUCUGGACCGGUACUGACGCUGAGGCGCGAAAGCGUGUGGAGCAAACAGG